Molecule: long non-coding RNA, 240 nt
Filed under: Lathyrus oleraceus (garden pea)
Lineage: Eukaryota; Viridiplantae; Streptophyta; Magnoliopsida; Fabales; Fabaceae
Description: Pisum sativum (pea) long non-coding RNA (PSAT_LNC013978)
Source: RNAcentral
UUUUCCCUUGCAAACAAUAAAAGCGCGGUGGCGACUCUUGUUAUUUGAUCUCUAGUUUGUCAAUUGCUUGAUGAUCAUGAUUUUCCCGCUAUAGAAAUUAAGUGGCGACUCUGCUGGGGAGUAGUGUCCAGUGGGUUUAGCCUACUUUUUGUGUGAAUAUAUUUGUAUAUGUGUGAUGUUUGUAUAUAUGUAUGUGUGAUAUAAAAUACUUUUUGUGCUUGGUGAUCUCUGAGUGGUGAG